This 64-nucleotide transfer RNA is filed under the name Doto coronata. RNAcentral's name for it is "tRNA-Pro". The record is from RNAcentral. Lineage: Eukaryota; Metazoa; Mollusca; Gastropoda; Nudibranchia; Dotidae.
UCAAAAACAGUUCUAAGGAAUACUAACUUUGGGAGUUAGAGGGUGGCGACUAGUCAUUUUUGAA